GACGGAGUGAUACAUCCCUACUAUUAGCAGCUUGGUUCGUAGGAACUUUCUCUCACCUGGCAGGUAAUUUCAAGCUCACCUAGAGAAGGCAGCGAAAUUUAGCAACCCAGAGACGAAACGUGGGAUCUUUUAAUGAUGUUAUCAAAGUUAAACCAGGAAAAAUAGCAACUCUUCAGAAAAAAAUGGCUUCUGCUAGCUGGAGGGAAAGUUGCUAACUGUGAGGUUUCCAGUUGCGCAAAAAAAGCCUGAAGAGAGAAAACAAGCUUGGAUCUCUGGAGAAUGUCUGGCCAAGGUGAUUUGGAUUUAAAUAUGGAGGUGGUUUUGUCUCCUGCUGGUCAAACUGCAGAAAGGAAGUCACAACCAGACAGCAGGAGGGUGGAAGAGAUGAGGGUGAGUACAGAUGAUGCUGAGGAGGAGGAGGAAUUGAUGACCUCUGCUCAUCUGGAGGCGAGCACUUUACCGUGGCCGGGAGACAAAGACAUGAACCUCCUAUUGGGUCAAAACGAGGAAGUCUCAGAAUCCGAGAGGGACACGGGGAUCAGCAGGGGAAGUCUGGACCUGUCAGAGGAGCACAGUCAGGCGGAGGGAGAUGUGAGGACCGAGGCCAAGUGGAGGGAGAGCAUGCCCGAAGGUGAAAGAUGGAGGGACGAUGAGAUCCAGGUGCAGGGGAAGGACAAAGGAGACGGGUCACUCGCAGACGAUGAGGAGGAAGAAGACGAGGAGGAAGAAGGAAAGGAGUGGAUGUCAGAGAAACCUUCUUUAGGUUUCACCCCGCGUGUUGAGAUUGUGUAUCCGACCAGAGAAGAUCUUCCUGAGCAGAGCCGGUCCUUCAGGGAGGAGAACGUGUUGAGGGAGCGGGAGAUGGAGCAGGAUUCGUACGCACGGUUUGACCCCGAGUGGGAAGAACAGGACGGCAAGCUCUAUCUGUGUGAGAAUGUGUGCAGUGAGAAACUGAAGCUGGUUUUAUCCACGAUGGCUGCGGUGCUCCUCUUUUGGUGUGGGGGGGUUAUGCCCUGAUUCCCUUUGAUCCUCCUCUGCUGAAGAGCGCCCCCCUCAGGGUGCUGUACACACUGCGCUGCUCGUUCUUUGCCAUCAUCCCCAUCAUGCUCGGUGUGCUGGUGCAGGGCGUGGCCCGGCUACAUUUCACCUCCAUCAAGCCCCUCUAUCAGCACCAGCUGGCAAACAAGGAAGUGAUGGUUCACUGGCACUACGUCAACGAGUCCUUGUCGCUCUUCCUCUUCUACUUCCUGCAGCUUGCGCUCAUGGCGACUUACAUCAGCCAGGACCUGGUUAAACUGGUGCCGCUGCUCACCAUUGUGUUCGUUUUCGGCAGGCUCAUCUACUGGCUUUGCCUCGCGCUGAACAGCACCAUCAGAGGCCUCGGCUUCGGCCUCUCCUUCUUCCCCAUCCUCGUCAUGCUGGGAGCCAACCUCUACUUCGUGUGCUCGUCGGUCGGACAGGAGUCGGUUUUUGACGUGGCGCCCCCUACGACGGCGCCCCCUCCCCGAAUGCGCUGGUGGUUUUAAAAACUGAACAAAAAAACAAAACACUGAUGUUCUAAAGGUUAACAGCUGCAGCACGGCUCACUCAGGUAUUUUUUUGUAUGUUUAUAAUCUAAUCUCAAAGAUUUAUGCCUCGAUUAAAGACGCGUGGUUGUCGUGGUAACAGCUGUUCAUGACAGCCCAGUUCAGCAUCAGAGAUGUUGGUACGUCUUCUGUGCUGCUAGAUAAACUCAGGUUUUAAUAUUUAGGCUGGAUUAUAUUUGUAAAUUGUAAAUCUACUCGGAUGCAGUGAAUGUUGACCAAAGGUUCUAUUUAAUUUGACUCAAAUGUAAAAUGAGAUGGUAAAUUAAUUCUAGUAUGGAUCUUUGUUUACAGAACAGUUUACUAAAUUUGCGCCUUUUAAAAGGACAAAAACUGUUUUGUUUAGAUCUGACAUUUGUCUUGUUUUUUACCAUAAAGUUUCACAAAGCAUCGUCUUUGAGGAAGUGAUGCAGCUAAUAAAAAGAUUAGAAAUAAAAAUAUAAAAUGUUUAUGUGAAAAUAGAAAAUGGGAACCUGGAAAACAAUAUUAACAGCAACUUCACACAACCAGUUUCCUUAUUAAACACAAAAAAUAUUUUUUCAUUUAACUUUAUAGCUGUUCAAACUGAAACUCACAUUAAUCUAAUUUUCAUCAUGUUUUAGACACAAAAUCUGACCGAUUAAAUAUGAAAAUCACAUUUUUGUUUGUUUUUCCCGUUUUUGCUUUCAUAAAGAUCACAUUUAUGACCAAAACAAAUGACUGGAUUCAUGGAAAAAUAUUAAACAAUCUAUAAAGAAUAAAAUGAUAUGAUGUAUUUAAUUUAUGUAUAUAUAUUUAGUUUUUUUUUUAGCAUCAGCAUUAUUUCUGUUGCUAGUGAAAAUCUUUACUUUUAUAACCUGCUGAAUGCUUUUUGAUUUUGUCUUGUUUACAGCAGCAUCUUUGUGUUUUUGGAUUUAUGUUGAUAAAGGAGAUGAUCGAUAAUUUGGAUGUUGAUUGAGUUCAAUAAAGCUUCAUAAAACAUG
Nothobranchius furzeri (turquoise killifish) is the source of this 2545-nucleotide RNA transcript. It is a transcript of the gene named transmembrane protein 79a, with no coding region annotated. The record is from RefSeq and is a predicted model, not a curated record. NCBI's taxonomy places the organism in Eukaryota, Metazoa, Chordata, Actinopteri, Cyprinodontiformes, Nothobranchiidae.